Carassius carassius (crucian carp) is the source of this 691-nucleotide long non-coding RNA. RefSeq lists it as uncharacterized. Lineage: Eukaryota; Metazoa; Chordata; Actinopteri; Cypriniformes; Cyprinidae. The transcript is spliced from 2 exons. The record is from RefSeq and is a predicted model, not a curated record.
UUAUUUUAAAACCGUUAAUUUUAAAUGUUUCAUUUUUUUAUUAUUAUUUAUUUUGGAUGUUUAGGAAAUGAUUGAUUAAUCAUUACUUAUCUAUGUAUUUUCAGCCAAAAUUCCUCAUUGUUUAAAACCCACAGUGUUAGUUCCUCGUAUUCAAUGACCUCAAACAAGGCUGUCAAGAUGAAUUUUUUCCACUAUUAGUUCUUUUUAUAUUUUUCUGUUGGGGCUAGACAAUCGUGCACAAAAGUAAGUUUUCUGAAUUUACAUUUCUUAAUUACUGUUAAAUAUAUAUUUUUUGAAUUUGUGAAAAAAUUUUUUUUUUUAAACUGAAGAUAAAUGAACAUCUGCACUACUCCUGCAUGGGAAGAAAGCUCCGCUACAUACCAUCCAGUAUUCCUACCUUGGAACUAUGGAUAUAAGUUGACAUUUUUUUAAAUGCUUGAAGACCGUUUUCUCUAUUUAUUCAAGCCAAUGAUCUGUCAAGAUGCCACAUCAAGCACAUCACUUUCUACAAUGUGAAGAAUUUGACUACUUUGAUUCUUUCUGGAAACCCUAUUACAUAUUUUGGACCCAAAUGCUUGAAUUCUUUAUAUAAUCUUCAAAGACUAGUUCUUGUGGAUGUUGGUCUCUCAUCAUUACAGCUUCAAAUGAGUAACCUAACCAAGCUGCAGGAGCUUAGAGUCGGGACAAAUAA